UACGUAGGGUCCGAGCGUUGUCCGGAAUUAUUGGGCGUAAAGAGCUCGUAGGCGGUUUGUCGCGUCUGCUGUGAAAUCCCGAGGCUCAACCUCGGGCCUGCAGUGGGUACGGGCAGACUUGAGUGGUGUAGGGGAGACUGGAAUUCCUGGUGUAGCGGUGGAAUGCGCAGAUAUCAGGAGGAACACCGAUGGCGAAGGCAGGUCUCUGGGCACUUACUGACGCUGAGGAGCGAAAGCGUGGGGAGCGAACAGG
RNAcentral lists this ribosomal RNA (253 nucleotides) under uncultured bacterium. RNAcentral describes it as "partial 16S ribosomal RNA". It matches the Rfam family "Bacterial small subunit ribosomal RNA", at positions 524 to 776 of the family's 1533-position model. The record is from RNAcentral. RNAcentral also lists the same sequence under 2 other names.